GCCUGGGUGGCUCAGCAGUUGAGCAUCUGCCUUCAGCUCAGGGAGUAAUCCUGGAGUCCCGGGAUCAAGUCCCGCUCAGGCU
This 82-nucleotide transfer RNA is filed under the name Canis lupus familiaris (dog). It matches the Rfam family "tRNA". Rfam says of the family: Transfer RNA (tRNA) molecules are approximately 80 nucleotides in length. Lineage: Eukaryota; Metazoa; Chordata; Mammalia; Carnivora; Canidae. RNAcentral also lists the same sequence under 1 other name. The record is from Rfam by way of RNAcentral.